UACGUAGGGGGCAAGCGUUGUCCGGAUUCAUUGGGCGUAAAGAGCUCGUAGGCGGUUUGUUGCGUCGGCUGUGAAAACCUGAGGCUCAACCUCAGGCCUGCAGUCGAUACGAGCAGACUAGAGUGUUGCAGGGGAGACUGGAAUUCCUGGUGUAGCGGUGAAAUGCGCAGAUAUCAGGAGGAACACCAGCGGCGAAGGCGGCGCUCUGGGCCGGUACUGACACUGAGGAGCGAAAGCGUGGGGAUCAAACAGG
This 253-nucleotide ribosomal RNA is filed under the name uncultured bacterium. RNAcentral describes it as "partial 16S ribosomal RNA". It matches the Rfam family "Bacterial small subunit ribosomal RNA", at positions 524 to 776 of the family's 1533-position model. The record is from RNAcentral.